GUGGGUGUAGCUCAGUAGGUAGAGCACCUGGUUGUGGUCCAGGAAGUCGCGGGUUCGAAUCCCGUCACUCACCCCA
This 76-nucleotide transfer RNA is filed under the name Allosaccharopolyspora coralli. RNAcentral's name for it is "Saccharopolyspora coralli tRNA-His". It matches the Rfam family "tRNA". From Rfam's summary of the family: Transfer RNA (tRNA) molecules are approximately 80 nucleotides in length. Their secondary structure includes four short double-helical elements and three loops (D, anti-codon, and T loops). RNAcentral also lists the same sequence under 1 other name. Lineage: Bacteria; Bacillati; Actinomycetota; Actinomycetes; Pseudonocardiales; Pseudonocardiaceae. The record is from RNAcentral.